UGGUGGAGUGAUUUGUCUGGUUAAUUCCGUUAACGAACGAGACCUUAACCUAUUAAAUAGUUAUACGAACCCUGAUCCCUCCCUAGUGGGGGAACUUUUGUUCGUGGACAACUUCUUAGAGGGACUCUUCGCUAAGAGAGCGAUUGGGAAGUUUGAGGCAAAAACA
This 166-nucleotide ribosomal RNA is filed under the name uncultured eukaryote. Its description in RNAcentral is "partial 18S ribosomal RNA". It matches the Rfam family "Eukaryotic small subunit ribosomal RNA", at positions 1299 to 1458 of the family's 1831-position model. The record is from RNAcentral.